Molecule: small RNA, 119 nt
Filed under: Rosa chinensis
Lineage: Eukaryota; Viridiplantae; Streptophyta; Magnoliopsida; Rosales; Rosaceae
Description: sRNA RchiOBHm_CPg0502311
Rfam family: tRNA (bases 2-94)
About the family: Transfer RNA (tRNA) molecules are approximately 80 nucleotides in length. Their secondary structure includes four short double-helical elements and three loops (D, anti-codon, and T loops). Further hydrogen bonds mediate the characteristic L-shaped molecular structure. tRNAs have two regions of fundamental functional importance: the anti-codon, which is responsible for specific mRNA codon recognition, and the 3' end, to which the tRNAs corresponding amino acid is attached (by aminoacyl-tRNA synthetases). tRNAs cope with the degeneracy of the genetic code in two manners: having more than one tRNA (with a specific anti-codon) for a particular amino acid; and 'wobble' base-pairing, i.e. permitting non-standard base-pairing at the 3rd anti-codon position.
Source: RNAcentral
CGGAGAGAUGGCCGAGUGGUUGAUAGCCCCGGUCUUGAAAACCGGUAUAGUUCGAAACAAAGAACUAUCGAGGGUUCGAAUCCCUCUCUCUCCUUUUCUCGGCGAAUAGAUUUGUUGCG